UAAAGGAAGCGAUUCCGGCUACGGAUGGUCAUGCGUCGCAUUAGCUAGUUGGCGGGGUAACGGCCCACCAAGGCGACGAUGCGUAGGGGUUCUGAGAGGAAGGUCCCCCACACUGGUACUGAGACACGGACCAGACUCCUACGGGAGGCAGCAGUGAGGAAUAUUGGUCAAUGGCCGCAGGGCUGAACCAGCCAAGUCGCGUGAGGGAUGACGGUCCUAUGGAUUGUAAACCUCUUUUGUCAGGGAGCAAAGGGCGCCACGUGUGGCGCUUUGCGAGUACCUGAAGAAAAAGCAUCGGCUAACUCCGUGCCAGCAGCCGCGGUAAUACGGAGGAUGCGAGCGUUAUCCGGAUUUAUUGGGUUUAAAGGGUGCGCAGGCGGAAUGUCAAGUCAGCGGUAAAAUUUCGGGGCUCAACCCCGUCGUGCCGUUGAAACUGGCGUUCUUGAGUGAGCGAGAAGUAUGCGGAAUGCGUGGUGUAGCGGUGAAAUGCAUAGAUAUCACGCAGAACUCCGAUUGCGAGGGCAGCAUACCGGCGCUCAACUGACGCUCAUGCACGAAAGCGUGGGUAUCGAACAGGAUUAGAUACCCUGGUAGUCCACGCAGUAAACGAUGAAUACUAACUGUCCGGGCAGAAUGAUGCCUGG
RNAcentral lists this ribosomal RNA (644 nucleotides) under uncultured bacterium. RNAcentral's name for it is "bacterial SSU rRNA". It matches the Rfam family "Bacterial small subunit ribosomal RNA", at positions 202 to 842 of the family's 1533-position model. The record is from RNAcentral.